This 736-nucleotide long non-coding RNA is filed under the name Lepisosteus oculatus (spotted gar). Its description in RNAcentral is "lncRNA (ENSLOCG00000021712.1)". The record is from RNAcentral. Lineage: Eukaryota; Metazoa; Chordata; Actinopteri; Semionotiformes; Lepisosteidae.
GAAAGACCUCAGGUGGAAUUCUGUCCCGGAAACAGAUCCUUCCUCUUACUGGAACCCGCCGGCUAGAUGCCAAGUUUUUUACUUUUUACAACAUGCCCAUCCUUUUACUUGAACUCACCGAGGACGCGAAUAAAACAAAGAGGAUUCAAUAUAAGCCUCAGUGUGCGUUAUAAUAAGCGCUUAUUACUGAGAGAGAUCAGAUUCUCAAGGCUGAAUUGAUGGAGAAACCACAGCAGCACUCCCAGCUCCUGUCCAGGUUUGUCCCCACCAAGCAGAAGGAUGUGCUCCGCUUCACGAUCGAUGCCUUCCUCUUCCAGAAGAAGCUGUCCAGGAAGCAUGAAGUGACUGAGCUGUACAUGCACUGUGUCAUGUCUCUGGCUCCUGCUAAAGCAACACCAGGGACCAAGUCCUGCACCUACAACAGGGAGGCUAAGAGGUGGGAGGAGCUGUAUGGUGACCAUGAGGUCUGUACCUGCUGUGAGUCCAGGUGUACUUUCCAACAGAAUGAAGGUGGGUCUGGUUCUCUUCCUCCUUGCUUCCAGAGACUCUGGGUCUCCAGCUGUAGCAGAUCCCUCACUGGUGGGUGCUGCUUGUCCACAGGUACCAGGAGCCUGGUGACCAGCAGUCGGGUGUCUGUGGCACCAGUAGAGGGUCCUCUGGGUGUGGAAGGUGACUGGACUGAGGAUGAGGAGGGAGACCCUCAGGGCUCCAGUGAAGAUGCUGAGAGCACCAGUGA